CCCGCUGAACUUAAGCAUAUCAAUAAGCGGAGGAAAAGAAACCAACAGGGAUUGCCCCAGUAACGGCGAGUGAAGCGGCAAGAGCUCAAAUUUGAAAGCUGGCCCCCUCGGGGUCCGCAAUUGUAAUUUGCAGAGGAUGCUUCGGGAGUGGCCCCCAUCUAAGUGCUCUGGAACGGGCCGUCAUAGAGGGUGAGAAUCCCGUAUGGGAUGGGGUGUCCGCGACCAUGUGAAGCUCCUUCAACGAGUCGAGUUGUUUGGGAAUGCAGCUCUAAAUGGGUGGUAAAUUUCAUCUAAAGCUAAAUAUUGGCCGGAGACCGAUAGCGCACAAGUAGAGUGAUCGAAAGAUGAAAAGCACUUUGAAAAGAGAGUUAAAAAGCACGUGAAAUUGUUGAAAGGGAAGCGCUUGCGACCAGACUCGCCUGCGGGGUUCAGCCGGUAUUCGUACCGGUGUACUUCCCCGUGGGCGGGCCAGCGUCGGUUUGGGCGGCCGGUCAAAGGCCCUCGGAAUGUAACGCCUCUCGGGGCGUCUUAUAGCCGAGGGUGCCAUGCGGCCAGCCCGGACCGAGGAACGCGCUUCGGCACGGACGCUGGCAUAAUGGUCGUAAGCGACCCGUCUUGAAACACGG
RNAcentral lists this ribosomal RNA (626 nucleotides) under uncultured fungus. RNAcentral's name for it is "eukaryotic LSU rRNA". It matches the Rfam family "Eukaryotic large subunit ribosomal RNA", at positions 24 to 664 of the family's 3401-position model. Lineage: Eukaryota; Fungi. The record is from RNAcentral.